GAUUCCAUGGUUAACAUACGUUAAGAGACAAAAGAUCUCCAGUUGGACUGUAAAUGAGGGAAAACAACAUUCUUUGCUUCCUUCUAAAACAGUUAAUUCUAUAAAUUCAGAUGGUGAUAUUAUGCAAUACUCUGCGCAGAGUGGGAGGUGGAACGCACAUAUGCUCAAGUAUGUGGCAUGCUCUAUAAAAACCUGUCACACCUCUGCAUGUGAAAAGGCCAUCUGAAAUAUUACUCUACAAAAUAAAUACGGGCUCUCGCUA
Molecule: non-coding RNA, 262 nt
Organism: Lonchura striata (white-rumped munia)
Lineage: Eukaryota; Metazoa; Chordata; Aves; Passeriformes; Estrildidae
Source: RefSeq, a predicted model, not a curated record